Hippocampus zosterae (dwarf seahorse) is the source of this 375-nucleotide long non-coding RNA. RefSeq lists it as uncharacterized. The record is from RefSeq and is a predicted model, not a curated record. Lineage: Eukaryota; Metazoa; Chordata; Actinopteri; Syngnathiformes; Syngnathidae. The transcript has 2 exons.
GGAAUUAACUUUCAUCAGCACUGCCCCUUAAGAGACGCGAGUAAACUUGUGAUGGUGGUAUGUGUAUGACACCUGUUAUCGAAGAAGAAGGCUGUUCGGUGGCGCCAGAGAGUUUGGGCCGGCCACCAUCCCCUCUGUGGCACACAAACAUUUGAGCGUAGAAAAGGAAUCGGGAGCUAAACUCUGGUAGAGUCUUCUGCGGGUUGCGUACAGACACCCAGCUGGUUGGAUGCACACUCUGCCGGGGAUGUUGGCUCUCCUUCCUAGUGCGUUACUGUGAGAGUUUGAUUUUACUUAUUGCAUUUAACCAACAUGUGAUUGUAUUGCUGUGCUGAUUCUUUGUGGCGGAAUAAAUGACGCUCAUAUUCUAGCAAA